Molecule: ribosomal RNA, 2080 nt
Filed under: Rhinebothriidea sp. type 1 (southern)
Lineage: Eukaryota; Metazoa; Platyhelminthes; Cestoda; Rhinebothriidea
Description: SSU rRNA
Rfam family: Eukaryotic small subunit ribosomal RNA
Source: RNAcentral
GUAGUCAUAUGCUUGUCUCAAAGAUUAAGCCAUGCAUGUCUCAGUGCACGCCUUUAUACGGUGAAACCGCGAAUGGCUCAUUAAAUCAGCUAUGGUUUAUUGGAUCGUACCCGUUAAAUGGAUAACUGUAAUAAAUCUAGAGCUAAUACAUGCCUUGAUGCCCUGACCCUCACGGGAAUGGGUGCACUUAUUAGAUCAGAAGCCAACCGUGUAGGCCUUCGGGUUUGCAUGUUGACCUUCUGGUGACUCUGGAUAAUUGUUACAGAUCGCAGUCGGCCUUGAGUCGGCGACGGGUCCUUCAAAUGUCUGCCCUAUCAACUGUCGAUGGUAGGUGAUCUGCCUACCAUGGUGAUAACGGGUAACGGGGAAUCAGGGUUCGAUUCCGGAGAGGGAGCCUGAGAAACGGCUACCACUUCCAAGGGAGGCAGCAGGCGCGCAAAUUACCCACUCCCAGAACGGGGAGGUGGUGACGAAAAAUACCGAUGCGGGUCUUUUUAAUGAGGCUCCGUAAUCGGAAUGAGUGAACUAUAAAUCCUUUCACGAGGAUCAAUUGGAGGGCAAGUCUGGUGCCAGCAGCCGCGGUAACUCCAGCUCCAAUAGCGUAUAUUAAAGUUGCUGCAGUUAAAAAGCUCGUAGUUGGAUCUCGGUAUCACUGAUGCCUGUCAGUCUUGUGCAGUUGGGCUAGUGUCGCGGGCGCUGCUCGUGUGCCUGGUCUACUGUUAUAAGUUGGCGUGGUGUUGGUGUCACCUUUCAGCCAUGUCUGUGGUGAAAUACCCGCAGGUGUAGGCGAGUGUCAGGCGGUGCUUUGCACAAGUAAGGUCCGUCGGCUCGUUUGCAUGCCUUUGGAUGCCCUUCAAAAGGUGUCUGUGGGCGGAUGGCACGUUUACUUUGAACAAAUUUGAGUGCUCAAACCAGGCCGCCGUUGCCUGAAAAGUUUUGCAUGGAAUAAUGGAAUAGGACUUCGGUUCUAUUUCGUUGGUUUUCGGAUCCGAAGUAAUGAUCAAAAGAGACAGGCGGGGACGUUUGUAUGGCUGCGCUAGAGGUGAAAUUCAUGGACCGUAGCCAGACAAACUAAAGCGAAAGCAUUCGUCAAGCAUGUUUUCAUUGACCAUGAGCGAAAGUCAGAGGCUCGAAGACGAUCAGAUACCGUCCUAGUUCUGACCAUAAACGAUGCCAACUGACGAUCCGUGGUGGUAGUAUUUCAACCUUCCCCACGGGCAGUCCCCGGGAAACCAUUAAGUCUUUGGGUUCCGGGGGAAGUAUGGUUGCAAAGCUGAAACUUAAAGGAAUUGACGGAAGGGCACCACCAGGAGUGGAGCCUGCGGCUUAAUUUGACUCAACACGGGAAAACUCACCCGGGCCGGACACUGUGAGGAUUGACAGAUUGAUAGCUCUUUCUUGAUUCAGUGGUUGGUGGUGCAUGGCCGUUCUUAGUUGGUGGAGCGAUUUGUCUGGUUAAUUUCGAUAACGAACGAGACUCUAGCCUGCUAAUUAGUACAUCUGUCCACUGUUCCUGUGUAGGCGGCGUUUGACAGGGCUGCUUCUAUCUGUUGCCGUGUGUGGUUGGCUUUCGGGUCGGCUGUGCGCGGUAGCUGGAGGUGGCUGGCUCAUCGUUAGUCUCCGGGUACGGCGCGGAUGUCUACUUCUUAGAGGGACAAGCGUAAGAAAACGCACGAGAUUGAGCAAUAACAGGUCUGUGAUGCCCUUAGAUGUCCGGGGCCGCACGCGCGCUACAAUGACGGUGCUAACGAGUCUGACCACCUGUCCCGAAAGGGUUGGGUAAACUGGUCAAUCACCGUCAUGACAGGGAUCGGGGCUUGUAAUUGUUCCCCGUGAACGAGGAAUUCCUAGUAAGUGCAAGUCAUAAGCUUGCGCUGAUUACGUCCCUGCCCUUUGUACACACCGCCCGUCGCUACUACCGAUUGAAUGUUUUAGUAAGGUCCUUGGAUUGGCGCCAUUGUGGUGAUUGCCGCAAGGUAGUCGCUCGACGCGUGCUGAGAAGACGACCAAACUUGAGCAUUUAGAGGAAGUAAAAGUCGUAACAAGGUUUCCGUAGGUGAACCUGCGGAAGGAUCAUCAC